Long non-coding RNA from Leopardus geoffroyi (Geoffroy's cat), 375 nucleotides. RefSeq lists it as uncharacterized. NCBI's taxonomy places the organism in Eukaryota, Metazoa, Chordata, Mammalia, Carnivora, Felidae. The record is from RefSeq and is a predicted model, not a curated record. The transcript has 3 exons.
AUCACAGGCAGGGACGCGAAGGACUUCUCUGGGGACCGGCUUCUUAGCGGCUCAGAGAGUCUUUCUCCGGUGCUGACGACCUGAGUUUAUCCCACACUCCAGGAAACCAAGGACAUCCGAAGACGGCGCCCUCUUUAAUUUAGUUGAAUUAAGAGUUCCAGCUGAGACCAAAACAGCUCCCUCGGCCACCUCCCAACCGCAUUGGGCCGGUGCUAGGCAUUUCACACCCACCCUCACUGAUCCUCGGAAGAGCCCAUUUUACAGAUGGGGGCACCAAGGCACACACAGGCUCACCAGCUUCCAGAUUUGUAUGCCCAGGUGUCGUGGUGGAAAGCCCAUCACCCAUAAGCACAGAAGGCAUGUGAAAUGCCAGGC